CUUUACACAGCGUAUAAGGGUGAUGUCACAGCACAAUGGGAAUCUAACAGGGGAAGAGGUGAAAGUAAUCCUCCUCCUCCCACGACCACGCCGGCAAGGACAGGACGCUUUACAGACGUGUUGUUGAUGGAGGACAUGCAGAGCUUUUUAAGUCCUACGCAUCGCCACAGCCCUUCGGGAUCCACCCUCAGAGAACGACUCGACCGACAGGUAGCAGACUACCUCGCCUUAACUGCAGAUAUCAACACUCUGAGGAGCGA
This 260-nucleotide long non-coding RNA is filed under the name Pelobates cultripes (western spadefoot toad). Lineage: Eukaryota; Metazoa; Chordata; Amphibia; Anura; Pelobatidae. The record is from RNAcentral.